CAAUCAUAUUGAGUGGUUCCAAUGGCGCAGGAAGAAAUGACAGCAGUUUUAUGGGCGCCCAACCAAUUGUGCUAUUAUGUGGGUUUUUGCGUUAUUUGUAACUUAUUUUGUACAUAAUGUUUCUGCAACCGUAUUUUAUGGCAAAAAAAGAGCUUCUGAAUAUCAGGACAGCGAUCACUCACCUUGGAUAAGACUAAGGUUUUUUCUUCAGCAAGCAAGACGCACAGGACAUUCUCCAAACACCCGACAGGGCCAACAUCCCCAUUAUUUUUAAGAGGAAGCGAAGCAGGUGCAGAGGACAAAGUAUAACUGGUCAGGACCCGAAAAAGGUGAGGCGCUGCAGUGCUAUGGCUGUAACAUCCUCCAGGGGCAGAUGUACGUGGAUGUGGGCUGCUCCAGCCCCAAGGUCAUCACUUGCUCCCACUCACACAAAGGCUUCAAGCACCGCUUCUGCAUUAAGACAGAGAGCAGUGCCAUGGGAAUCAUUCUGACCAGCGGUUGUGCCACGUCUCAGCACUGCCAACAGGAGCUACCCGGGGUCUGGAUCCACUGUUGUGUUUCAGACCUUUGCAACAGCACCCCCCACUGGCGCAGAACGACCUUACACUGGCUGUGCUCUUUGGCUACCCUGCUGCUCGUACUGUGGCUGCAAGUGUGAGAGAGAAUUUUGGAGCAGAGUAACACUGACUAACCCCCACUUCAGCCCUACUGUGUCCUAGACCAAAGCCAUUGGAGGAUCAAUAAGAGGCAUGCACCUGCAUGGAUACCUAGUGGAUGAGAAUACAAUCUUUAUGCAUUGGCAAGCCUGUGAAUAUUGUUAUUUUCAGUUUCCAUGUGCAUCAUAUUCUUUACGAGGCCACAAUGAGAUUAUGAAGGUAGUUGGUCCAAGAAGCGUGUAUGUUGCUAAUAUAUUGGUGCCAAUAACGUUGUGAGUGUUGAUACAGUAUAUUUCAAUAGGGUCAUAUGUUGGGGUUGUGGGGGGAGACAGAGUGGAACAGAGAUUGGGUGAUGUUUUGGAGAUACAUUUUGUUUAAAUGGCUAAAUAGGUGUUUCUCUCGGCACAAAAUACAUGCUUUCAUAAAUGGCAUUGUUCAUUUUCAUUUACCUAUUUGGUCAGAUUAAGUCAAAUCAAGCUUUAUUUAUACAGCGCAUUUCAGACAUGGAAUGCAACGCAAUGCGCUUUACAGGACAAAUCUAAAUAAAAAAUGAUAAUAAAAGCUGAAAUAUUUACUACACAAACAUAAGUUAAAAAACAAAUGAAUGACAACCUGAACUAAAAAGGAAAAUCAAAGCUAAAAAUAUGUGUUAUAAGAUCUUUUAAAUAUGUCCACAAUUUUGCCACCCCUCAGGUUCUCCGGCAGGGUCCUAUUCUGUAUGUCCAGUAGAGGGCAACACCUUCGCCCCCAUGUAGGUUACAGACAUAGGAUACUCUCUUUACUUUCAUGUUAAAUUGCCUACUUCACGCAUUAACUCGACAAUGGCAGUAUUCUUUAAAACAAAAAUUCUAUAAACAUUUUAGAUAUGAUUGGUUGGUCAUUUUUAACAUCUAUGUCGUCUAAAUCAACAAACUACAUCGUACCUGAAAACACUUUCAUGCUCAUACAUUUUUUUGUAUGAACAGCUAGACUGUUGAAUGGAAUGUACAUCAUGAUUAUCAGCCAAAGAGUCGAUUCCAACGGACUUAUUUCAAUUAGCUAACUAACCCUACUUGUAAGAUGCCAAAAAACCUGUUGCAUACCAUUUUGUUUGAAUAAUAGUAGGAGAAAAUAUCACCAAAUUAAGUUUCAUCAACUGCACAAGGAUCAGUUUAGAUGAAACCUAUGGUUUCAGGCACAGGGGAGGUUGGUGGGACCAUAAUUGGGGACGAUGGGCUUGUGGUAAUGCCUGGAGCGGAAUCAUUGGAAUGGUACUAAAUACAUCAAACAUAUAGUUUCCAUGUGUUUGAUGCCAUUCUAGGUGCUCCGUUUCAGCCAUUAUAAUGAGCCGUCCUCCCCUAAGCUGCCUCCACUGGUUUCCGGCUAUUAGGCUGCUAUGAUGAUGGAAACCUGUGGGCUCCGCUUCCUCGAUACAUUUAUGUGCGUUCAAGCACUUUAUCAUCGAUAAGUCGCUUUGCAUAAAUCUUACUUGUUAGCUUGUAGAAAGGACUAGUAAGUGUAACGGAUGUGAAACGGCUAGCUUAGUUAGCGGUGUGCGCUAAAUAGCGUUUCAAUCGGUUACGUCACUUGCUCUGAGACCUUGAAGUAGUA
Long non-coding RNA from Oncorhynchus gorbuscha (pink salmon), 2246 nucleotides. RefSeq lists it as uncharacterized. The record is from RefSeq and is a predicted model, not a curated record. Lineage: Eukaryota; Metazoa; Chordata; Actinopteri; Salmoniformes; Salmonidae. The transcript is spliced from 3 exons.